Molecule: long non-coding RNA, 1919 nt
Organism: Pelobates fuscus (common spadefoot toad)
Lineage: Eukaryota; Metazoa; Chordata; Amphibia; Anura; Pelobatidae
Exons: 3
Source: RefSeq, a predicted model, not a curated record
CAUUUCCCAACACUAAGGAGGUUACAAAAGCUAACAGAAAAUAGAAAGAAUAAGGCAUCUGAAGCUUAAAUGACUAGUGGGAAUUCCAGAAUAACUAUGCGUUAUUAAUUUUGAUCAUUCUGCAACAUCUGGCUAAAGUGUUUACAAGAAAAUAUGUUUCCUGAAACAACUUUGACUAUGGACCGUUUUGGCGCACUUCAGUUACCCUUUUAUGUGUGGCUAAUCAUUGUUGUAGUGUGUUUUAUCUUUCUUCUAAGUUGUCUAAGGUCCCUGGUUCAGUGUUACAAGUCAACUAAUUACACAGGUACUAACGUGACAGCAGACUCUACCACCAUUUCUGCUAUCAACUCUCAGUUUAAUACGGGAUACCAAUCAAACCAAGAUAACAGACCUCAUUUUCAAAGUCAGCAUUUUCCAAGUACUACAGUCCCGCUGUCGGAACCCUUUCGAUUCGCUACAGCUCCUAACCAGGCGUAUUUGCAGAACACAAACUUUACUGUAGCUCAAACAACGCUCAUACAAGAUUUACCUCCAAGCUAUGAAGACGUCAUUAGACAGAAAUGAUGGUAACCUGGAAUUAAUUAUCAUGUGUAUGAAGUAUUUUCUUACAUCUAUUUUCCUCUAACUGCCAGACAGCUGAUAGUUGUGAUGCAAUCUUUUUAUUCUUCAUCCAACCUAGCCUAGGCCAUUCAGAAAAUUAAUCUUGGACUGAUUUGCACUAAAAUUCAGAUGUUUGAAAGGCUUAAUCCAGAAACAGCAAAACAAGUAAAGUUUUCAAAACAAAACCACAAUAAUGGAGAGUCCAUCAGAGACACUGGGCUGGUACGGUGUCUAGAGAACUUCAGGACUCAACUGUUGUUGUUCUUAUUAUCUGAUACAAUUUAGCUGCAUUUAGAAUCAGUUUCAGCAGUAUUUAGUGUAAAAGAGCAUAUGGUAUUAGUGGGUUCCUCUGUGAGCGUGUCCAAGUCGUCGAGUGGAGAGAAGAGUUAAAAGAAGGAAGCAUCGACCUUCUAUGCUGUGCAGAGACACAGACUCCUGGGAGGUACCAUCUACUGAAAGGGUUAUUGAUCCUAAACUUAAGUCAUCAUUAUGCCAUGAAAAAGAGUUUACCCAUCUUGUUCGUUGCAUAGGAUGGCAAAAAAGUAUUGUGGACUAUUUAAAGCUUUAUGAUAAAUCUUUAUGAAAUAUUGGCAUUUUACUGAAACUCAUUAACAUGCUUCCAUACAUAAAUAUGUUGUAACUGUAAAUGUAUGCAAAUUUCCAUUCCGUAGUGUAGUGACAUUAUGCAAUCACAUAUUACGUCCAAAAUGGUUAUGCGGGAAAUAGGCAGGGCAACAAAUUUAGGACAAUAAUUUCCCAACACUAAGGAGGUUAUAAAAGCUAACAGAAGAUAGAAAGAACCAGGCAUUUGGAAUUUAGAAGCCUACUGGGAAUUCCAGAGUAACUCUGCGUUAUUUAUUUUGAUCAUUCUGCAACAUCUGGCUGAAGUGUUCACAAGAAAAUAUUUUUUCCUAGGCAACUUUGACAAUGGACGGUUUUGGCGCAUUUCAGUUACCCUUUUAUGUGUGGCUAAUCAUUGCUGUAGUGUGUCUUAUCUUUCUUAUAAGUUGUCUAAGGUCCCUGUUUAAGUGUUGCAAAUCAACUAAUUACACAGAUACUAACGAGACAGCAGAAUCUACCACCAUUUAUGCAAUCAAUUCUCAGCUUAAUACGGGAUACCAAUCAAACCAAGAUAACAGACCUCAUUUCGAAAAUCAGCAUUUUCCAAGUGCUACAGUCCUGCUGUCGGAACCCUUUCGGUUUACUACAGCUCCUAACCAGGCGUAUUUGCAGAACACAAACUUUACUAUAGCUCAAACAACGCUCAUACAAGAUUUACCUCCAAGCUAUGAAGACGUCAUUAGACAGAAAUGAUGUUA